GACGAACGCUGGCGGCGUGCUUAACACAUGCAAGUCGAACGGAAAGGCCCUGCUUUUGUGGGGUGCUCGAUGGCCGAACGGGGGAGUAACACGUGAGUAACCUGCCCUUGACUUUGGGAUAACUUCAGGAAACUGGGGCUAUUACCGGAUAGGAGCUCCUGCUCCAGGGUGGGGGUGGGAAAGUUUCGGCGGUAGGGGAUGGACUCGCGGCUUACCGGCUGGUUGGUGGGGUGGGGGCUUACCAAGGCUUUGACGGGUAGCCGGCCUGGGAGGGGGGACGGCCACAUGGGGACUGAGAUACGGACCAGACUCCUACGGGAGGCAGCAGUGGGAAGUAUUGCACAAUGGGCGGAAGCCUGAUGCAGCAACGCCGCGUGCGGGAUGACGGCCUUCGGGUUGUAAACCGCUUUCGCCUGUGACGAAGCGUGAGUGACGGUAAUGGGUAAAGAAGCACCGGCUAACUACGUG
Molecule: ribosomal RNA, 468 nt
Filed under: uncultured bacterium
Lineage: Bacteria
Description: partial 16S ribosomal RNA
Rfam family: Bacterial small subunit ribosomal RNA
Source: RNAcentral